RNAcentral lists this ribosomal RNA (124 nucleotides) under uncultured bacterium. RNAcentral's name for it is "partial 16S ribosomal RNA". It matches the Rfam family "Bacterial small subunit ribosomal RNA", at positions 371 to 509 of the family's 1533-position model. The record is from RNAcentral.
AGGGAGGGAACCCUGACCCAGCAACGCCGCGUGAAGGAAGAAGGCUUUCGGGUUGUAAACUUCUUUUACCAGGGACGAAGAAAGUGACGGUACCUGGAGAAAAAGCCACGGCUAACUACGUGCC